CCUACGGGUGGCAGCAGUGGGGAAUAUUGCACAAUGGACGCAACCCUGAUGCAGCGACGCCGCGUGCAGGAAGAAGUAUUUCGGUACGUAAAGCUCUAUCAGCAUGGGAGUAAAUGACGGUCCCUGACUAAGAAACCCCGGCUAACUACGUGCCAGCGGCCGCGUGAAUACGUAGGGGGCAAGCGUUAGCCGGAUUUACUGGGUGUAAAGGGAGCGUAGACGGGAGCGUAAGUCUGCAGUGAAAUCCCAUGGCUUAACCAUGGAACUGCUUUGGAAACUGGGCAGCUGGAGUGCAGGCGAGGUAAGCGGAAUUCAUAGUGUAGCGGUGAAAUGCGUAGAUAUUAGGAGGAACACCAGUGGCGAAGGCGGCUUACUGGACUGUAACUGACGUUGAGGCUCGAAAGCGUGGGGAGCAAACAGGAUUAGAUACCCGGGUAGUC
RNAcentral lists this ribosomal RNA (440 nucleotides) under uncultured bacterium. RNAcentral's name for it is "partial 16S ribosomal RNA". It matches the Rfam family "Bacterial small subunit ribosomal RNA", at positions 338 to 795 of the family's 1533-position model. The record is from RNAcentral.